GCAACCAGGGGUUUUCUGCGUUUUCAGUGAUCAAGAGAAAAUCCAGCUUGUGCACAGCAUAGGAUGUUAGAACUGGAAACCACCCUCCCUUUGCUCAGAUCGCCAAGGCCUGGGGAGCAAGGAUCAGGACUGCUCAGAUUCACCCAGACCCCGUAACUCUGGGGACCAGGGCUCCCUACUGGACACAUCCGUGCUGUUCCACUUAACUCUUGCCAAGGAUGUGAGGUAAACACCACUCUGCCAGCAAGGACACUGCUGCUCGGCUGGGGCCCCUAUGCCAUCCUGUAUCUAUACGCAGUCAUCGCAGACGUGACUUCCAUCUCCCCCAAACUGCAGAUGGUGCCCGCCCUCAUUGCCAAAAUGGUGCCCACGAUCAAUGCCAUCAACUAUGCCCUGGGCAAUGAGAUGGUCUGCAGGGGAAUCUGGCAGUGCCUCUCACCGCAGAAGAGCGAGAAGGACCGAACCAAGUGAGCCUGCCACCCUGGAGUGAGCCCCAGGCCAGGAGGCUGUUCCAAGAGUCCUGUCCAGCAGCCUCAGUGGCCAAGCCCAGACACUCACCCACCUUCCCCAGUGGCCCUGUGGAUCCUGGUCCUAGGCUGGACACAAGGAUUCAGAAAGACACCAGGCUGCACAGAAAGAGCCAGAUGGACCUGAGUGUCGGUAACAGCCCCCUACACUCAAGGCUGAGAGGCCUCAGGAAAGUCACUCCUUUUUAAAAAUAAUAAUAAAUGUAAGGGGGUACAGUGCA
This 748-nucleotide small RNA is filed under the name Pan troglodytes (chimpanzee). RNAcentral describes it as "processed transcript". The record is from RNAcentral. Lineage: Eukaryota; Metazoa; Chordata; Mammalia; Primates; Hominidae.